This is a non-coding RNA of Drosophila melanogaster (fruit fly), 280 nucleotides long. Lineage: Eukaryota; Metazoa; Arthropoda; Insecta; Diptera; Drosophilidae. The record is from Ensembl.
UACCAUCCCGAUGAUCCUCAGAUGGAAAUGUAUCUUAUGGCUGCAAUUUAGGAGCAGGAUCAGCACUGGCCACUAAUCCACUGAACAUAAAACAUAAUUUUCACACACAUUUCCGACGAAAGCAACUUCGCGACGGACCGAAAAAUAAGCAGAACCUGUCGGCUCGAGAGCAGAAGAACAUUUGGCCAGCCUCGAAUAUCUCCAGCUUGGCCAGAAUUUGAGAACCAGACUGGGAAAGCCAGCCUUUCCAUUCCACUUUUCCCCACUUUGGCCAACAGCU